AUGGCGAUCGCACGGGUUAACACCGACAGGCCCUUCAGCGCCACGGCGUUCUUUGACAAUAUGAAGUUCGUAUAGGGAUUAGCUCGAACGCCAAAGUUUCACGAGGCGGGUGAGAACUUGUUCAUCUUUCAACUUUUCUGCCUCGGCGACUGGAAGAGGGUCGUGCAUGGAGGCCCUUGGCUGUUUAGAGGUCUCAGUUUGAUAAUUGAGGAUUGUGAUGGCAAGACGGAUCCGGAGGCUGUGGCGCUAGAUGGACCGUAUGUUUGGGCUCAAAUACACAGGAUUCCUGAUCUCUAUCGGCAGGAGCCAGUGGUUGAUCAAUGGGCGCAUAGGAUCGGAAAGGUUCGGGAGGUUCAGCUGCAGCCUACCCUUUACUAUGAAGGUGGUUCGGGCCAGGGUUUUGACGGCCAAGCCCCUGACCAGGUUCACCCCGCUGACUGUGGUAGGGGAAGGUACACGGAUGUUGGUUGUUAA
This 474-nucleotide ribosomal RNA is filed under the name Triticum aestivum (bread wheat). Its description in RNAcentral is "partial small subunit ribosomal RNA". The record is from RNAcentral. Lineage: Eukaryota; Viridiplantae; Streptophyta; Magnoliopsida; Poales; Poaceae.